Molecule: long non-coding RNA, 1068 nt
Filed under: Corvus moneduloides (New Caledonian crow)
Lineage: Eukaryota; Metazoa; Chordata; Aves; Passeriformes; Corvidae
Description: lncRNA (ENSCMUG00000019144.1)
Source: RNAcentral
AUGAGUGGGAACCUUCAAACUGCAGCAUCACAAACUAUCGCCCAGGACUGUGGAGGGAAAAAAAAGGAGAGAAGAAAAGAAGAAGGGGGAACGGGUUGGAAAAACCACGAAUUGAGGGGCUGGAGCCAGCAGCAGCUGUCGGAGCCGGUGAGUGACACUGGGCGUGGUUCCCCCUUUGCUUACGGCUGCCGAUGCCAUGGGCACGGUGACCACAGUCACAGGCCCCUUGGCCACCAACGUGUCGGGUUCUCCCUGGCAGCAGCCCGGGCUGUGGCACCGCUGCCACCCCUCAGGGCAGACCCGGCCCCCAGAGCGCCCGCUUUUAAAUGCGUCUCUGCCCAAACAGCUGGCGAGCACCGGGCAGCAAAGGCGAGUGCGGAAGGCGAGGGCCGGCAUCGAAAAAAGGGUGUGGGAAUGGGAGGGAAGGGACCAGCAGAGCCCCUCCGCGGUCACGGAGCUCAGUGCCCUGACACUGCCCCGAAGCACAGCCCUGGGCAGCUCCCCCGGGAUGUGCCAGCGAGCACAGGAGCGCCGGGAGGGGCUCCCCGCUCCAGCCAGCGCCAGAACAAGGUUUUGUGGUUAUCCCGCGGUGAGGGGCUGUGGGCGGGAUGCAGCCGCUGUGUCCAGCCCUACCCGGACCAGCAGCUCCCUGCGCCCGGCCCCCGGCCGAGGUCGGUGCGUGGCCGCGGGAGCUCCCCCGACGCUGCACCAGCUCCUCCCUGCACACGCAGAAGCUCCAGACCCCUCCCGCAGCCCCGACUCGCCCCAACCCUUCCCUUUCCCCCGGCUGAGCCCCAUCAAAUCCCCACCCACCCUGGGGCCACUCAGCCGCAGCACCUGUGCCAUUCUCCAAACUCCCUUCUCUCCCCUGCUCUCCCCGCGGUCCGGGGCUGCUGCAGCCCGUGGCACCCAGUGGUGGUGGCCCUGCCACGCUCCCGGCCCCGCGUUGUGCUGCGUGUCCCGGGCACUGCAGUGGGCAGAGCUGAGCCCUCCCGGCGCCUCUCGCCAUGCCGAGCUGCGCCCAGCACAUCGUGCCACCCACAGCUGGGACGACAGAGAGGGGUGUGA